AUGUCAAUUCAAAUAUACAGAACCAGAGUUAAAUAACAAAAAUAAAAUAAACACAAUUUACACCUUACAAACAUCAAUAUUAUUUUAGAAAUAGACUCUUUCAUUAACCAAAGUAGGUAUAUUUAUAACGUAAUUAGACUAAAACAGUAUAUAUACCUAAACACUUUUUAAAACAGAAAUAGUAAUAAUAUAUUUAUAAUUAUUACCACAUUCACCACACCACAAGUGUUCAUGUUCAUUUUAUAAAAUAAAUGUUAAAAGCAAAAACAACAAAGGUAUAACCUCAAAAAUAAAAUGUAAACAAACCUAUCACUACGAAACUACGAACAAACAGCUGAUUCGUGACGUCACGCAUACGUCACGGUUCUUUUGAGUUUUUGCUGCAGUGAGACAAACGUAAAAUAUUUUAUAAUUUCUAGACGCGAGUGUGUGAUCUCUCAUCUAUAGGGCUUUUCAUUCACAGUCAUUUGUUUCGAGCUUCUGUCAUGUGUCACAUAAUAUUAAUAUAUCUACGUCAUACGUUAUUGGUAUAUACCAAUGAUACAAACCAAAGACGUAUGACGUAGAUAUAUUAAUAUUAUGUGACACAUGACAGAAGCUCGAAACAAAUGACAAUCGAUGAAAAGCCCUAUGGCAGAAACUCAAAUGAAACCAUGCCCCGCUCACUCUAACAAAAAACAUGUAAUCGUAUUUAUUUUCCUUCCAUUUAGUCAGAGGCGCUGAUGUCGGCAUUGUGAUUGGUGGGACGUGACUUUUGACAAAUCCUGGCUAUCUGUGAAUCUGUAAUCUGUGUUCGUGUGUUCGUUCGUUCGUUGUCGUGAUGUGUUUGUGUCACCCAGUGUUCUCAGACCUCCUGAAAUUUCAGGAGACCUACUGAUGGCGACCCUCGCCUACUGAUCUACUGAUGGCGUCCUUAAACCUCCUGAUGAAGUGAUGAAAUUCUGAAAAUCAUCUGGUUUUGUUCCAACUCGAUACAAAACCGUUCUUGAAUGAUUACGAGGAUGCGCAGUAACGAAAAAUGUGUUAAUGCGCAACAUUACUCGUCAUUGCGCAUGCGCGUAACGAUUCAAGAACGGUUUUGUAUGGAGUUUUAAUUUUUCAGAAUUUUAUCCUAUUUUAUUUUUUUUAUUUUUAUGCUUUAGCCGCCACAUAGCGUUGCCACAGCCGUCCCUUACAGAUUUUAUAGAGUUGCAUGCCUACCUAUAAACGUAAAAAUACUCCACCAACUGAUUCUACUGAUUUUUCGUGGCGACAUCUAGUUGCCAAUCUAUAAACGUAAAGACUGAAACUACAGAAUUCUACCAAUUUUUGAGGCGAGCGAGUCUCCUGAAAUCUCCUGAUCGUUCGUGGCGACACCUCCUGAUCCUCAAAAAAGUCAUCUGGGAACACUGGUGUCACCAUAAAAAGCUGAUAUUCAGUCGUGCUGUUUGAUAUUUUUGUUAUUUCAUAAUCGAGUACCUUUUUAAAGGUCUAAUGGCUCCGUUCAGCUGUUGUGUGCAAACGGUGAAAAAAUUCGACAAGUAAACAUUUAUUUAAUCCAAAUUACUCAUAUUUCUAUGUUAAAUGUCACAUUAUUGUAUAAAUAAAUAAGUAAGAAACAAAA
Long non-coding RNA from Diabrotica virgifera virgifera (western corn rootworm), 1603 nucleotides. RefSeq lists it as uncharacterized. The record is from RefSeq and is a predicted model, not a curated record. The transcript has 2 exons. NCBI's taxonomy places the organism in Eukaryota, Metazoa, Arthropoda, Insecta, Coleoptera, Chrysomelidae.